GAUGAACGCUGGCGGCGUGCCUAAUACAUGCAAGUCGAGCGAACAGAUAAGGAGCUUGCUCCUUUGACGUUAGCGGCGGACGGGUGAGUAACACGUGGGUCACCUACCUAUAAGACUGGGAUAACUUCGGGAAACCGGAGCUAAUACCGGAUAAUAUUUCGACCCGCAUGGUUCGAUAGUGAAAGAUGGUUUUGCUACUACUUAUUGAUGGACCCGCGUCUUAUCAGCUAGUUGGUAGGUUAACGGCUUACCAAGGCGACGCUACGUAGCCGACCUGAGAGGGGGUCGGCCACCACGGGAACGGGACCACGGUCCAGCCCCUUCCGGGAGGCACCAGAGGGGAACUUUCGGCAUGGGGCGAAGGCCGGACGGAGCACGCCGGCGGGGGGGAGGAAGGUCUCCGGAUCUUAAGACUCUUUUAAUGGGGAAGACCAGACGGGGAAGGAACAGUGCACGUCUUGACGGUACCUAAUCAGAAAGCCACGGCUAACUACGUG
This 497-nucleotide ribosomal RNA is filed under the name uncultured bacterium. RNAcentral's name for it is "partial 16S ribosomal RNA". It matches the Rfam family "Bacterial small subunit ribosomal RNA", at positions 28 to 507 of the family's 1533-position model. The record is from RNAcentral.